GCCUCAUUGUUCCAAUGGUUAAGAUGUCUGACUUCCAAUCAGACGAUGCGGGUUCGAUUUCCGCAUGAGGCU
RNAcentral lists this transfer RNA (72 nucleotides) under Corynebacterium phage P1201. It matches the Rfam family "tRNA". Rfam says of the family: Transfer RNA (tRNA) molecules are approximately 80 nucleotides in length. Their secondary structure includes four short double-helical elements and three loops (D, anti-codon, and T loops). The record is from Rfam by way of RNAcentral. Lineage: Duplodnaviria; Heunggongvirae; Uroviricota; Caudoviricetes; Zierdtviridae.